RNAcentral lists this ribosomal RNA (254 nucleotides) under uncultured bacterium. RNAcentral describes it as "partial 16S ribosomal RNA". It matches the Rfam family "Bacterial small subunit ribosomal RNA", at positions 524 to 776 of the family's 1533-position model. The record is from RNAcentral.
UACGUAGGCAGCGAGCGUUGUUCGGAGUUACUGGGCGUAAAGGGUGUGUAGGCGGUUGUUUAAGUUUGGUGUGAAAUCUCCCGGCUCAACUGGGAGGGUGCGCCGAAUACUGAAUGACUUCGAGUGCGGGAGAGGUGAGUGGAAUUCCUGGUGUAGCGGUGAAAUGCGUAGAUAUCAGGAGGAACACCGGUGGUGUAGACGGCUCACUGGACCGUAACUGACGCUGAGACACGAAAGCGUGGGUAGCAAACAGG